UUUAGGAAAACGUCUUACCAUUUUUAUUUCGGUAAGACAUUUUCCAAAACUUUUCCAUCCCCCUUCUUUGCCACACCAAUUGUAUUGGUUAUUAGCCCCUUCCCCCUUUGAGAGACUUCGCCAAAGACAGCGUCCGCCUCGUCAAGUGUUGCCACAUCCCCGAUCGUAAAGUUCACGAAGGUGGCUUUUCGUACAGCAGUCGGUUUCGUAGUGAUGGGAUUCGUCGUAUUCUUCUUCAAGCUCAUCUUUAUUCCUAUUAACAACAUCAUCGUUGGCUCCGCUUAGGAAUUGCAGGCUCGUAGAAAUUGGUGGGGAUAUGACCGGUUGGCGUAGUUGCAGGUUCUCAUAAAAAAUGAAUGUUAGAAUGCAAAAGUUGGGGGGUGUCCCUCUUCCCUUCUCGUUUUACAUUUUAUUAGUUGAACUAAUAGUCGUGAAUCCGAAGCCAAAGCUUUCUUAACCAAAAGUAUGAAGCAUAGAAAAAUUUGGCUUCAAAAAUUUUCUCAAGGUUGAAGAUAUUGAUGCUUUAAUGUGGUGUAGGACUAAUUAUGUGGUAUAAUACUAGUUAUGCACUUGGACAAUGUUGUAGUUAUUAUGUGGUGUGCUACUAAUUAUGUAUUGGAUAAUAAUAUUCAUUUGUAAUAUUAAUUGUGGUUUGGAAGCUAAUUUAUUAUUAUUCAA
Long non-coding RNA from Gossypium raimondii (Peruvian cotton), 678 nucleotides. RefSeq lists it as uncharacterized. NCBI's taxonomy places the organism in Eukaryota, Viridiplantae, Streptophyta, Magnoliopsida, Malvales, Malvaceae. The transcript has 3 exons. The record is from RefSeq and is a predicted model, not a curated record.